UUUCUUUAAUAGAAUUACACCAGAAAAAGAUUAUAUUUAAAAUAAUGCUUGUUUAAAGUUGAAUAUGGCGAUUAUUUAAAAUAUACUACAAAUUUAACUAAUUGAAAGGAAUGUAUUUAGAAUUCGAAAGUUAUUCUCGCGUUAUGAUUAGAUAAAUGAAACAAUCGACUGAGGUCAUAUGUAAGAUAUAUACAUAUGUAUAUACUAUGACUGUGACUAAUAUAAACAACCAUACAAAGAGGUUUAGUUCAACAACACAGAAGAUAAAAGCACCUCAACAUUUAUUAAGACUACGAGACGAUGAAUCUUAUGAACAUGAGUUACGUGGAACACCAUUACCAGACUUACAAAGAAAAGAAUUUUCUAAGAGAAUUACUAGUCCAACAAGUUCGGAUCGAGCUAGUAUCUCAACGUCUAUGUCAUGGCCUGAGGAAAUGGAAAAUGUUGCAACUGAGAAAUUACUUCAACAAUGGGAUGCAAUUGAAAGGGUUCUUUAUAAUGAAACUGAUAAUUUGUCCAAUAAUGAAGUUUUUGAAGAAUGUAUGCAAUGGAAAAUACAAAUACCACAUCUGAGAGUUAUUGGAAAAGGAUUACUUGAUGAAAAUAUUAGUAAAUCUGCAGAUUGUAGCACAGAUAAUAGAGAAGUACAUAAACCGUUCGAUUAUAGUGAUAGUCUAAAACUAUCUAUUGAUCAGGCAGCAAAGAAUACCAAUGAAUCUUUAAAAAAUCAGCAAUAUAAACAAUCAAAAGAAGAAGUAUUUAAUAUUAUCUCGGAAUACAUAAAUUCUCAAUUAUUUCCAAAUAAAAACGAUGAUAUGGACACAUUAGAUAGUAAACUAGAUAAAGUAUUAAAAAUUACUCCUGCAUCUAUGUGUAGGAAUAGAACAUUUACAAAAAGUUCUAAAUCUACUAGAUCGGGUGAUCAAAUUUUGUAUCGUGAAGAUUUUGAAGAUGAUUCUUCGGAUUUCUAUAAUGUGAAACAACAUGAUCUGAGUAGUUUGGACAAAUCAAAAUCUGAAACUAUUACAAGGAGUAAACGUUUCCCUCAAAGGAGAAAAAAACAUUCCAUUUCUGCGAGUAAAAUAAAAGGUUUACAAAAAGUGGAAAAUGAUGUAAAUGAUGAAAGGGAAAGACUAUAUACUCCACAACAAAACAGAAAUAAACUCGGUACUGUUUUCAAUGAAAAGAUUGUUGUUAGCCCUGUGCCUUUUGCUGUAUCAACUAGAGAAAGUUUUUCUACUUUAAAAACUAUUCCCAUUAGAUUCAUGGAACAAGCUUUAGAAAUCUCAACUUCUCAAGGAUCUGCUAGAAAUUCAUUUUCUAACGUUAAACCAUUAUGGAAGUCAAACAGUAUUAGAAUGCCGAAUAAUCAUUCUGCUUGGCAAACCCCUGUAUCUCCAGCUGUGUGGCCGAAAAAUCUUAGACUUGCUCCUAUAGAUACUUCAAGGCUUCCCAGCAGCAAAAAUAGAUCAUUGUCAUUGGCUGAAUCACCAGUUGUGUUACAGCGCAGUGUAAAACCUUUAAGUCCUAUUUCACAUGCAAUAAUGCCCUCUACUGCAAAAAUUAUACGCGAUAAAAAUAAUGAUAUUCUAGAAAUUCAAGAUGCAAAUAAAAUCAUGUACGGAGAGAUGGAGUAAAAGUGAGUACCAAGUGCGCAGGUGUGGAUUUCGGCAUGGGGAUGCUGUGACAAUCUUACUGGAUGGGCUUACCCUCUCAGUUGUACACGAACUUUCGAAUAGAGAAGCUGUUGCGUCAUUUCAAGCGUUUAUAUUUCGCGCCGAUAAAUCACGUCCGUUUACAUUGGACGAAUAUUCCAUGCGUCUUCCGGUCUCGUUUUACAAGUCAAAUAAUAUACAAUAUUUGAUUUGCUUGGGUUCCAUCUUAGUGAUUCCUAACCUUUUGAUUCGAAUCACGUAGUAACGGAUCGGCGGUACGUGAUA
RNAcentral lists this unclassified non-coding RNA (1940 nucleotides) under Polistes fuscatus (common paper wasp). RNAcentral describes it as "uncharacterized LOC122521265, transcript variant X3". The record is from RNAcentral. Lineage: Eukaryota; Metazoa; Arthropoda; Insecta; Hymenoptera; Vespidae.